CAAUAGCGUAUAUUUAAGUUGUUGCGGUUAAAAAGCUCGUAGUUGGAUUUCGGGCGUGGAGGUUCGGUCCGCCGUUUCGGUGUGCACUGUCUUUCUGCGUCUUUCUGUCGGGGACGCGCUUCUGGCCUUAAUUGGCUGGGACGUGGAUUCGACGAGGUUACUUUGAAAAAUUAGAGUGUUCAAAGCAAGCUAAAGCUCUGAAUACAUUAGCAUGGAAUAACGCGAGAGGACUCGGUCCUUAUUUUGUUGGUCUUCAAGGAUGGAGUAAUGAUUAAGAGGGACAGUUGGGGGCAUUCGUAUUUCAUUGCUAGAGGUGAAAUUCUUGGAUUUAUGAAAGACGAACUUCUGCGAAAGCAUUUGCCAAGGAUGUUUUCAUUGAUCAAGAACGAAAGUUGGGGGCUCGAAGAUGAUUAGAUACCAU
RNAcentral lists this ribosomal RNA (421 nucleotides) under uncultured eukaryote. RNAcentral's name for it is "SSU rRNA". It matches the Rfam family "Eukaryotic small subunit ribosomal RNA", at positions 592 to 1018 of the family's 1831-position model. The record is from RNAcentral.